GCGCUACCUUCGGGUGGAGCGGCGGACGGGUUAGUAACGCGUGGGAAUAUACCCUUCACUAUGGAAUAGCCUCGGGAAACUGAGAGUAAUACCAUAUACGCCCUUCGGGGGAAAGAUUUAUCGGUGAAGGAUUAGCCCGCGUAAGAUUAGAUAGUUGGUGGGGUAAUGGCCUACCAAGUCUACGAUCUUUAGCUGGUUUUAGAGGAUGAUCAGCAACACUGGGACUGAGACACGGCCCAGACUCCUACGGGAGGCAGCAGUGGGGAAUCUUAGACAAUGGGCGAAAGCCUGAUCUAGCCAUGCCGCGUGAGUGAUGAAGGUCUUAGGAUCGUAAAGCUCUUUCGCUAGGGAUGAUAAUGACAGUACCUAGUAAAGAAGCCCCGGCUAACUCCGUGCCAGCAGCCGCGGUAAUACGGAGGGGGCUAGCGUUGUUCGGAAUUACUGGGCGUAAAGCGUACGUAGGCGGAUCAGAAAGUAUGGGGUGAAAUCCCAGGGCUUAACCCUGGAACUGCCUCAUAAACUCCUGGUCUUGAGUUCGAGAGAGGUGAGUGGAAUUCCAAGUGUA
RNAcentral lists this ribosomal RNA (565 nucleotides) under uncultured Phaeobacter sp. RNAcentral describes it as "bacterial SSU rRNA". It matches the Rfam family "Bacterial small subunit ribosomal RNA", at positions 66 to 677 of the family's 1533-position model. Lineage: Bacteria; Pseudomonadati; Pseudomonadota; Alphaproteobacteria; Rhodobacterales; Roseobacteraceae. The record is from RNAcentral.